RNAcentral lists this ribosomal RNA (438 nucleotides) under uncultured bacterium. RNAcentral's name for it is "bacterial SSU rRNA". It matches the Rfam family "Bacterial small subunit ribosomal RNA", at positions 958 to 1398 of the family's 1533-position model. The record is from RNAcentral.
AACGCGAAGAACCUUACCCAGGCUUGAACAGCGAGUGACCACCUACGAAAGUAGGCUUCCGCAAGGACACUCGUAGAGGUGCUGCAUGGCUGUCGUCAGCUCGUGUCGUGAGAUGUUGGGUUAAGUCCCGCAACGAGCGCAACCCUUGUCUUCUGUUGCCAUCAGGUAAUGCUGGGCACUCUGGAGAGACUGCCGGUGAUAAACCGGAGGAAGGUGGGGAUGACGUCAAGUCAGCAUGGCCUUUAUGUCUGGGGCUACACACGUGCUACAAUGGCCGGUACAAAGCGUCGCGAGCCCGCAAGGGGGAGCUAAUCGCAUAAAGCCGGUCUCAGUUCGGAUUGCAGGCUGCAACUCGCCUGCAUGAAGUCGGAAUCGCUAGUAAUCGCGGAUCAGCACGCCGCGGUGAAUACGUUCCCGGGCCUUGUACACACCGGAGUA